GAUGAACGCUGGCGGCGUGCCUAAUACAUGCAAGUCGAGCGAACGGACGAGAAGCUUGCUUCUCUGAUGUUAGCGGCGGACGGGUGAGUAACACGUGGAUAACCUACCUAUAAGACUGGGAUAACUUCGGGAAACCGGAGCUAAUACCGGAUAAUAUUUUGAACCGCAUGGUUCAAAAGUAAAAGACGGUCUUGCUGUCACUUAUAGAUGGAUCCGCGCUGCAUUAGCUAGUUGGUAAGGUAACGGCUUACCAAGGCAACGAUGCAUAGCCGACCUGAGAGGAUGAUCAGCCACACUGGAACUGAGACACGGUCCAGACUCCUACGGGAGGCAGCAGUAGGGAAUCUUCCGCAAAGGGCGAAAGCCUGACGGAGCAACGCCGCGUGAGUGAUGAAGGUCUUCGGAUCGUAAAACUCUUUUAUUAGGGAAGAACAUAUGUGUAAGUAACUGUGCACAUCCUGACGGUACCUAAUCAGAAAGCCACGGCUAACUACGUG
RNAcentral lists this ribosomal RNA (497 nucleotides) under uncultured bacterium. RNAcentral's name for it is "partial 16S ribosomal RNA". It matches the Rfam family "Bacterial small subunit ribosomal RNA", at positions 28 to 507 of the family's 1533-position model. The record is from RNAcentral.